Molecule: ribosomal RNA, 301 nt
Filed under: uncultured bacterium
Lineage: Bacteria
Description: partial 16S ribosomal RNA
Rfam family: Bacterial small subunit ribosomal RNA
Source: RNAcentral
CAGUCGCCGCGGUAAUUCGUAGGUGGCAAGCGUUGUCCGGAAUUAUUGGGCGUAAAGGGCUCGCAGGCGGUUUCUUAAGUCUGAUGUGAAAGCCCCCGGCUCAACCGGGGAGGGUCAUUGGAAACUGGGAAACUUGAGUGCAGAAGAGGAGAGUGGAAUUCCACGUGUAGCGGUGAAAUGCGUAGAGAUGUGGAGGAACACCAGUGGCGAAGGCGACUCUCUGGUCUGUAACUGACGCUGAGGAGCGAAAGCGUGGGGAGCGAACAGGAUUAGAUACCCGAGUAGUCCCCUGUCUCUUAUA